RNAcentral lists this ribosomal RNA (256 nucleotides) under uncultured bacterium. RNAcentral's name for it is "partial 16S ribosomal RNA". It matches the Rfam family "Bacterial small subunit ribosomal RNA", at positions 524 to 776 of the family's 1533-position model. The record is from RNAcentral.
UACAGAGGGUGCAAACGUUGCUCGGAAUUAUUGGGCGUAAAGCGCGUGUAGGCGGCUUGUUAAGUUGGUUGUGAAAACCCAUGGCUCAACCAUGGAAGGGCGUCCAAAAACUGGCAAGCUAGAGUCCCGCACGAGGAUGGCGGAAUUCCCAGUGUAGAGGUGAAAUUCGUAGAUAUUGGGAGGAACACCGGUGGCGAAGGCGGCCAUCUGGGGAGGGCACCGACGCUGAGACGCGAAAGCGUGGGGAGCAAACAGG